UUUUUCUCCUAAUUGCUUUCUGUUAUCCCAACUAAUGGCCAUCCACAUCCAACUAUCGCAGGUGCCAUCAUCCUCGACCUCUAUAACCAGUUUAUAUGCAGGAGUUGAAUAACACAAGGAGCAACUCCACAAUCCUUUGAUGAGAAAAUCGUCUUUUGUUAUAAUUGAGGGCCUUAAUUUAUGGCUUAAGGAAGGAGUUCUUGAUAUUCUUUUGACGAUGAGGUAUAUGAAGGUCUAAAAAGUGUCUGGGAAGAUUGUAGAUAAGGGACGCUGCAUUGGCACAUGAGGAAGCAACAUGCUUGUCUUUUUUAGUUUACCAUUGUUCAUGUAUU
Non-coding RNA from Nicotiana tabacum (common tobacco), 332 nucleotides. Lineage: Eukaryota; Viridiplantae; Streptophyta; Magnoliopsida; Solanales; Solanaceae. The record is from RefSeq and is a predicted model, not a curated record.